This 28-nucleotide non-coding RNA is filed under the name Macaca fascicularis (crab-eating macaque). The record is from RNAcentral. Lineage: Eukaryota; Metazoa; Chordata; Mammalia; Primates; Cercopithecidae. RNAcentral also lists the same sequence under 1 other name.
AGCAUAAAGAUAGGGAGGUGGUGAUGGA